GACGAACGCUGGCGGCGCGCUUAACACAUGCAAGUCGAACGCACCUUUCGGGGUGAGUGGGCGGACGGGUGAGUAACACGUGGGAACGUGCCCUCUAAGUUCGGAAUAACCCAGGGAAACUUGGGCUAAUACCGGGAUAAGCCCUUCGGGGGAAAGGAUUGAUCGCUAGAGGAUCGGCCCGCGUCUGAUUAGCUAGUUGGUAGGGUAAUGGCCUACCAAGGCGACGAUCAGUAGCUGGUCUGAGAGGAUGAUCAGCCACACUGGGACUGAGACACGGCCCAGACUCCUACGGGAGGCAGCAGUGGGGAAUAUUGGACAAUGGGCGCAAGCCUGAUCCAGCCAU
RNAcentral lists this ribosomal RNA (343 nucleotides) under uncultured bacterium. Its description in RNAcentral is "bacterial SSU rRNA". It matches the Rfam family "Bacterial small subunit ribosomal RNA", at positions 28 to 395 of the family's 1533-position model. The record is from RNAcentral.